RNAcentral lists this long non-coding RNA (411 nucleotides) under Phoenix dactylifera (date palm). RNAcentral describes it as "long non-coding RNA (PDAC_LNC012380)". The record is from RNAcentral. Lineage: Eukaryota; Viridiplantae; Streptophyta; Magnoliopsida; Arecales; Arecaceae.
GUAGGUUCAUUUUGGAAUAGAGUUGCAUCUAGAUGGGAUCUAUUGAUCUUGAUAGAUUAGGAGUGAUUCUAUUUGAUUUAUAAGACUAUGUUCGAUAAAUUGUUGGCCAAGUAUUUUGGAAAAAGAGUUUUCCAUAUCUCAAACUGGAAGUUGAAUAAAUUUGACAUAUGACGGACGAUGAGGUUUGACGAGUUAUCCAUAACCUCCAUCCUGUCAGAAUCCAUGAUAGAGGGACUGUAUCAUACGCUAACUGCACCUAGAGGUUCAGACAUUUCAUUCUGAAGAAGUUGUUGCCCACGAUGACAACCAAGAGGGGGGGUGAAUUUGGAUUUUCUAAAAAUUAUGUUCCCUAAUUUUUACUUUGAAUUGAAUGCAGCGGGAUGAUAAGAUGCUACUUACUUAAGCUCUAGG